GACGAACGCUGGCGGCGUGCUUAACACAUGCAAGUCGAACGGAAAGGCCCCUUUGUUGGUACUCGAGUGGUGAACGGGUGAGUAACACGCACGUAAGCUUCCCUUCACUUCGGGAUAACUACAUGAAACUGGGGCUGAUACCGAAUAGGAAUCAUUUCUGCAUGGUGGGGGUUGGAAAGCUUCGUCCGUUUUGGAUGGACUCGCGGGCUAUCUGCUUGCUUGUGGGGUAGUGGCUUACCCAGGCUUGGUGGGGUAGCCGGCCUGCGAGGGUGGCCGGCCACCUUGGGACUGAGAGACGGCCCAGACUCCGAAGGGAGGCCGCAGGGGGGAAGAUUGACCGAGGGGCGGAAGCCUGGUGCAGAAACGCCGCGGGCCGGAUGACGGCCUUCGGGUUGGAAACCGCAUUCAGCAGGGGCGAAGCUUGUGGUGACGGUACCUGCAGAAGAAGCACCGGCUAACUACGUG
Molecule: ribosomal RNA, 465 nt
Filed under: uncultured bacterium
Lineage: Bacteria
Description: partial 16S ribosomal RNA
Rfam family: Bacterial small subunit ribosomal RNA
Source: RNAcentral